Long non-coding RNA from Peromyscus californicus insignis, 4158 nucleotides. RefSeq lists it as uncharacterized. Lineage: Eukaryota; Metazoa; Chordata; Mammalia; Rodentia; Cricetidae. The transcript has 3 exons. The record is from RefSeq and is a predicted model, not a curated record.
UCCAGCUACCCCCCCACUGGGAUUGCAGGGGUAUGCUCUGCCAUGCCCACACCAUUGGUUCUCUUAUUUUAGAAAUUUGGAAUUUCUAUUUAGCUCUUUUUAUAGAUUCAAUUUCUUUGGUAAAUGUUUUCCCUCCACGGAUUUUCUCACCUUUGUCUCUCUUCUCCGGCUAUUUUAGGAUCCUUCUGUAGGAGUUCCGAAUGGACGUCACCACUGACCUGUCCUCGUGCUGGUCCCUUCUGGCCCCGGCUGUGUGUCUCUUGGCAUUCUGGCAUGGUUAUUAUUGGCGGCUGGAUGCAGUUUUAUCUCUGCCAGGAAAUGUGUCCCCACCUCUGAUAGUUCAAGAACAGGGUGACCCCAGGCCCAAGAAGGGUUGUGCAGAGUGGCUCCGUAGAAGCUCAGACGUAGCCCCAGUGGCUUCCAGGGUCUGCUCUGGCAUCUUGGUCUUCUCAGCAAGGACAGGAUUCAGGACCUUAGUCUGCUCUUCAGAGGUCUGGGGCUUUGAAUGUCUUUCCCACUGUGCAGCUAAGAGCCCCAGGAACCUGCUGCCCACUUACGUCACUGCUGAUCUGGCACAGGCUGAACCACAGUGAGAGCUCUCUCCUGUCUGCUCUGGUCCUCAGAUCGCAGCCUGAGUCUAGAGCUCUAGGCAGGCCCAUGAAGAGAUGCCCACAGAGCACACUCACACCUCGUAGGUCUCCCCUGGCUGGCCUCGGGUCCCUGGCCGUCUCUUCUCUCUGCUGUCACGGGAGCAGCUAGCUGCUCAAAGGAAGCCAGAGGCUCAGAGGAGGUUUGCAGGCUCGCACGUUAGCCACUGAAAGCCGUAUAGGGACUACUAAAGUGUCCUCUGUACAGGUCACAGAGGGCUGGGUGUGCUGUGGUCCCUGAACUCCAAGUCAUGACAGGAGGACACUCGUUAGCCUACUCCAUGUCACUGUGGCAGGCUGUUAUGUCUUUCCAGGACCCUGAGGAUUCAGCCCUCUUUCUGGACCACUGAUGGUCACAGGAACAGAGAAAGGAGAACCCGGUGGACAUGGACUGGGUCCUCUACAAGGAGAUGGCCCAGUCACCGAAGCUCAGUGGUCACUGUGCAGGACGAGACACUGGGUCCUACAGAGUGCCAGUGUCUGGACCUGGCCCGUCACCAUGUCUGUCAGUUAGGACACUUCCUGUUGCUAGUCUGGCAGUGGGACAAGGGCUCGUUUCUUUAAAGAUUGCGUGUCCCUGAUGAGUGACAUCAAGUGACUUUUUAUUUGUUCCGUGGAUUUAUGGGGAAACAGGCAGCAUUUCAAGAUUAGAGAUAAAAUGUGACCUGUAAAGCGCCUAUGGGCUCUCUGUUCUGAAUAGUAGGGACUGCACCUCGACACCCUUCUUACUUUUACACACUUCCUCCCUUCAUGCUAACAAUGCUUUGUGAAUUUCUGUCAUGACUAGGUCCGGUAGGUCCUGAUGCAUCUAACAGUUUUUCUGUGUGCAUUUGUGUCAGAGGCUGAGCACAUGCAGGUUCAAGCUUGUCACAGCUGUGCUGGGUCUGAUACCUCUAUUGACACACGUGGUUUUGCACCGUGAGUCAUUUUGACUGAGGUUAUCUUCGUCAUUCCUCUGGUCAUCUCGUCUGUGUUUGUAUCCAUCCUUUGUUCUUCAGCCACGAAUCAGAGUUUAUGAAAUGUCUCUGUAGACAGCACAUGAUCCGGACUCUGAUUCCAAAUGUGACCUCAUUCUGCCCUCCCGGUACGACUGAGCAGAGCCAGGCUCUGCUCCGUACCCCGUGGCUGCUGCAUCUUUGAUUCCCGCCUUUCUCUUCUGCCUUUUAAUCUCAAGUUAGUCAGAAAUGCAUUCAAGUCUUUUUUGUACCUAUAGAAAAACAAAACCAAAUCCCUUCCCGACAACACACGUUUCUGGUGUGUGUGACCCAGGCUGUGCCUAGAUCUUGUCCCUCCCUUUCUUCUCGGGAACUCAGAACUCUACCAUCCACCCCCUGAACUCUUUGACGCUGGGCAUUGCUCUGGCAUCCUCACCUGCCUGUUGUCCCUAGGCCGCUUACAUGACCCGCUGCUGGUAAUCAGUCCUCAUCUCUGUCCUUAUCCCAUGGCCAUGGCGAGCCACAGCCUUCCCCAUUCCACUUACCACCCUCAGCUCUGUGCCCCAAGGUCCCAGUUAGACUCAGGAUAGGCCUCUGACCUUAGCUGUCUGUGUAGUGAGUGCCCGGCUCUAACUGGGGCUCACAUUCGUCCAGACCACAGGCGGGCGAUUCUGCUCCCCUUCUUCUCUUUCCUCUGAAGUAUGGUGCCAACUUGCUUCCUCUGCAUGGAGUCACUGUGAGUACCUGGGCAGAGCCCCGCAAAGGGUGGCGCUGUGGAUCCCUGGGAUGUUGGGAGCACAUUGAUGGGUUGUGAGAUGUCAGGCACUCAUCCAGCCAGCUGAGUAGACUAUUUUUAGCCUCCAAGCUCUACCUCACUCUAUAGUAAAUCUGAAUGCCCUCAAAAACUGCCAAGUGGAGAUUUCCUGCUGUAGAUCUUCGGUGACUUGCUUUGUGUCUGUGCCUAUGAGUGACAUUUAUCCCACGGUGACAUUUGUGGGCGGCAACUUCUCCCGAGGAAACACUUGCAGCCACCUGCACUGACUUCCAGGUCAUCAGAGUUAAUCACCUCCGGUCCAAGUUCUUGGAUAACAGGCGGCUUUGUGACUGCUGAGGUCGGAAGGCAGAGGCUGGCAUGUGACUGACCAUACCACGGCCCGUGAGGUGAGGCCUCAACCUGCUCCUCUCGGCUUGGGAGAUGCACAGAGAUAUCCACAGCAGAAUGGGGACAAGAGCAAGCAAAGACCUUGGCUACACUGCACUGUGACCAGCAUCACCCCAUCCCACCAGCCCUGCUGUGCUGGGGGCUCCACUGACCUGCUGCAGCAAGCAUUUCUCACCACCACGGUACUCUGUAGGCCUUUGAUGGAAGCUGCCUCUGCCGGGCUUCAAGAGUGCUGGGACCCAGCUGUCCAUGUUGACCCUGCAUGUGGAUGCACUUAAGAGAGACAUUGAGUCUUUGAUGUGAGGCCUGGUUCUUCAAGGCAGAUGUUUAGCCAAGAACGUGAUGCCAGCAAUUUCACGAGAAUACUCUCCUGGGGAGGGGGCAGUGGGAGGAGGGACAGUCCCUACCUCAGUCUGGCUUUAUGGGAACCUCAGGUGGGACACUUUACUUCAGGGUCUACCUACAAGAGACCAAGAAUGGACAUGGCUCCCUGAGACCCACAAUGGAACUCACAGAUCCCUCCUGCUGUCCUAAAGAAGCCAGAGGCACCCAGGGAAGGGAGCAACUACCUGGGAGAAGGAACAGACCACACUGGUGGGUGCCACCGGCAGGAAGGCUCACUGGGGAACAAGCUCACUCCACAGUGGUGGCAUCACACUGCAGCUCUGGCCUCUGUCACUCACUCUGGACUUGGCCCUGAGCAGCCUGUGCCCCUGAUUUCCUCAUUCACCCAGGUGCUGGCUGAGACUCAUUCUGUGUUGCUCGGGGUUGACAGCAGUCCCUGGUGUCCUGAGUGUUUUGGAAGCUGCUUUCUGUGGCUGAACUGGAGUAACAGUUCUAUUCUAUUCUGAGUGCCCUGGUGGAGAACUCUGGCUAGUCUGUUCUUUCCCUGAGGUAUGGUAAUCCACUCUUUGCACUUGGCUUUUGGGUGAAGAGUCUAGAAUGUGGACAUCCCCUGCUGAUGACUAGGACUGCACCUGGUCCAAGACCAUGUGUCGUUUCCCAGCAGACCCUGGGUCUGUCCCCAGGCUCUGCUGUUAGACCACUGUCCCUGAUUUUUGAAAAUUAAUUUUGCACGUGGUCAUUUUUCCUGUAUGUAUGUCGAUGCACCCCACAGAUGCCUGGUGUCCACGCAGGCCAGAACCAGAAGUCAGACCCCCUGGAACUGGAGUUGGAGAUGGUUAUGAGCCACCAAAUGGCGUCCUUGGAAGAGCACCCAGUGCUCCUCCGCGGAGCCAUCUCUCCAGCCCUCUUCCCGCUUUUUAGCUUCACAUCAGCUCUGUCUGAGUCUUCCUUUUAUUCCCUGUCUUCCUCUGGGAGGCUGCUGACUGGGCUUGACCGAUGCCUUCUGGAGUUAGGCAGUAGUCUCCAGAUGUGCUUUCCACCCAGCAGCCAGAGUGACCCUUACAAGCAG